CCUACGGGGGGCAGCAGUGGGGAAUAUUGGGCAAUGGGCGCAAGCCUGACCCAGCAAUGCCGCGUGAAGGAAGAAGGCUUUCGGGUUGUAAACUUCUUUGACAGGGGAAGAGCAGAAGACGGUACCCUGAAAACAAGCCACGGCUAACUACGUGCCAGCAGCCGCGGUAAUACGUAGGUGGCAAGCGUUGUCCGGAUUUACUGGGUGUAAAGGGCGUGUAGCCGGGAAGGCAAGUCAGAUGUGAAAUCUGGAGGCUCAACCUCCAAAUUGCAUUUGAAACUGUUUUUCUUGAGUACUGGAGAGGCAGACGGAAUUCCUUGUGUAGCGGUGAAAUGCGUAGAUAUAAGGAGGAACACCAGUGGCGAAGGCGGUCUGCUGGACUGCAACUGACACUGAGGCUCGAAAGUGUGGGUAUCAAACAGGAUUAGAUACCCCAGUAGUC
RNAcentral lists this ribosomal RNA (442 nucleotides) under uncultured bacterium. RNAcentral's name for it is "partial 16S ribosomal RNA". It matches the Rfam family "Bacterial small subunit ribosomal RNA", at positions 338 to 795 of the family's 1533-position model. The record is from RNAcentral.